RNAcentral lists this long non-coding RNA (354 nucleotides) under Mytilus galloprovincialis (Mediterranean mussel). Lineage: Eukaryota; Metazoa; Mollusca; Bivalvia; Mytilida; Mytilidae. The record is from RNAcentral.
UGCGCAUAUUUUAACGCAUGUUUCUUACGACGAGUGCCUUGGAAACGGUCGCUUAAAGGGGUCUACUCAAAAAUAGCUUUGACGACCUUGGAACGCGGGCGUGUAUGAAAGCACCCUUGACGAUGUAAACAAGUGAUGCACCACGUUCUUCAAAACAGGAAAUACGAACGGUCAGAAAUUCAGAGUGCUUUCUUCAUUUUUCGCAUAAAAGUCUAAAAGGAGAAAAAUAUACAUGAUUUAAGCAUAACAUUUAAAAAAAGAAUAUAUAAAUACUGACAAAGUCACAUGUAUGACGUCGACGGUAUUUGGUGCCGCUUCGCUCCCAAAACGCAUUCUCAUCUUACACGGUCGCCU